AAUCCCCGCAGGCGCUGGGUCUGCAGAUGGCGUCCAGGUACACAGUGGCGAGUGUGAUUCCGCAGUCUUGGGCUGUUUGGCCAAGCGCCCGCCGGACAUGGUACGCCGAAGGGUCAUCGGCGUGGAGUCCUCGCUUUCAGCGUCCGCGGCUGGGAAAUCGGCCAUCGCUACGGCGGGAACUGGGACUCGGGCUGCGUCCCGGCCCUUCCACAUCGGUCCACCGCACUCGUGGGCGCCCGCAUUGGUGCUGACAUAAUUUCCUGACCUCUGACCCGUAUUGUCUCGCGAUUAAAGAGCUGCGCCUGGAUCCCUCAGCAGUGAGGAGACCUGAAGACCAGAGGAAACACAGCAAACGGAGCCUUGCUCUGUUGCCCAGGCUGGUGUGUAGUGAUCUCAGCUCACUGCAAGCUCCACCUUCCGGGUUCACACCAUUCUCCCACCUCAACCCCCGGAGUAGCUGGAACUACAGCCUCCUGCCACCACGCCUGGCUAAUUUUUUUUUUGUAUUUUUAGUAGAGACGGGGUUUCACCAUGUUAGCUAGGAUGGUCUCGAUCUGCUGACCUCGUGAUCCACCCGCCUCGGCCUCUCAAAGUGCUGGGAUUAAAGGCGUAAGCCACUGCGCCUGGCUGUUUUUUCAUUUCUAUUAUGAUUUGUCCUGUGGAAUGUCAGUGACUUAGCGGUAUUUUUAUCACACGUUUAUAAAGCUGAAUAGUUUUGUAUGUCAGCUCAGCACCCUUAGUGUCAGCCAUGCUAGUCUCCUGCUGUGCAUAGAUCGAGGCCUGUCCAUACCCGAAUCUCCUGGGUUCCCACUGUCAGCACCUGAAGGUACCCACCAGAUGUGUCUGUCACUUCCCUACAUCCACCUCUAUUGUGGUUCUCAUGUUUCUGCCUCCCUAGAGACCAUUUCUCUGUAGAGCAGCGCUUUCGAAUAGAAAUACAAUGCCAGACACAUAAGUUGUUUUAGAUUUUCUAGUAGUCACUUUAGAAAAGUUAAAAAGAAACAGGUGAAAUUAAUGUUUUAUUUCACCUAAAAUGUUAGCAUUAUCCAAAAUAUCACUUCAACAUCUUAUCAAAAUAAAAUUAUUAAUGAGAUUGGUUACCGUUCCGAUAAAUAGGUGAACUGAGAGCAUACACAGUAGUAUUCUGUUCUAAUUUCUGCUUCACUGUGAGUGUCUUGACAUAGUCUUAAAAGAGUAUUGCUGUGAAAUAUUAUACAUGUAACUCAUAACCUCUACAAUUCUGCAGUUGUAAUUGGUUGUCUUACCUAAUAAUCAGUUGCUUUGCUUCAUAAUAUUUAAAUUGGCAUCUCUAUUUUCCAAAAGGCAUAAAUACUAGUAUAGUUUUUUAGUUAAGCCAGGAGAAAGUUCACUUUAUUUACAUAACUUAUACGUAAAAAUUUAAUAAAUCUCCCUGCUUCUUUUCUUUUGCAUCAUAACAACCACUGAAAAUAAUAUUUCUAUGGCAGUUGGGGGUAAAUGGACAAUAGCUUUUGUGACCAGAGGUGAAUGGCCCAGGGUCUCCAGCACUCCAGGUCCCACUGAGCCUGCCCCACAGCUGAGGGCAUCGGUAUUUCCACACACCUAUAAUGUACAGUGCCCCAGAACAGAGAUCGGAUGCUCUGCUUUAUUCAGAUGGGGUGUUGAGAGUAUUGUCAUUGUAAUUGAAUUAGUAAGUAAGUAUUUAUACACUGUUAAAAUCUGGUUGGAUUUGUGUCCCUUCACAAAACAAAUUGCUUAAAUGAAACCACAGAGUUAACAUAAUUGACUACAUCUGCUUCUAUGAGCUGC
RNAcentral lists this long non-coding RNA (1788 nucleotides) under Homo sapiens (human). RNAcentral's name for it is "PREDICTED lncRNA (TCONS_00132721)". Lineage: Eukaryota; Metazoa; Chordata; Mammalia; Primates; Hominidae. The record is from RNAcentral.